Molecule: ribosomal RNA, 253 nt
Filed under: uncultured bacterium
Lineage: Bacteria
Description: partial 16S ribosomal RNA
Rfam family: Bacterial small subunit ribosomal RNA
Source: RNAcentral
UACAGAGGUCUCAAGCGUUGUCCGGAUUUAUUGGGCGUAAAGAGCGUGUAGGCGGCUUUACAGGUCCGUUGUGAAAACUCGAGGCUCAACCUCGAGACGCCGGUGGAAACCGUAAAGCUAGAGUCCGGAAGAGGAGAGUGGAAUUCCUGGUGUAGCGGUGAAAUGCGCAGAUAUCAGGAGGAACACCCGUGGCGAAAGCGGCUCUCUGGGACGGUACUGACGCUGAGACGCGAAAGCGUGGGGAGCAAACAGG